CUCAUAGCGUAUAUUAAGUUGUUGCAGUUAAAAAGCUCGUAGUUGGACCUUGGACCUGGACAGGCGGUCCGCCUCACGGCGAGUACUGUCUUGCUGGGUCUUUCCUCUUGGUGAUCUGUUGUUUCGGCAGCAGGGAACCAGGACCUUUACUUUGAAAAAAUUAGAGUGUUCAAAGCAGGCUCGACGCCGGAAUAUAUUAGCAUGGAAUAAUAAAAUAGGACGUGCGGUUCUAUUUUGUUGGUUUUUGGAAUCGCCGUAAUGAUUAAUAGGGACAGUCGGGGGCAUUAGUACUCACAUGCUAGAGGUGAAAUUCUUGGAUUUUGUGAAGACUAACUUCUGCGAAAGCAUUUGCCAAGGAUGUUUUCAUUAAUCAAGAACGAAGGUUAGGGUAUCGAAAACGAUUAGAUACCGUUGUAGUCUUAACAGUAAACUAUGCCGACUAGGGAUCGGUCGAUGUUAUCUUUUUGACUCGAUCGGCACCUUACGAGAAAUCAAAGUUUUUGGGUUCUGGGGGGAGUAUGGUCGCAAGGCUGAAACUUAAAGAAAUUGACGGAAG
This 556-nucleotide ribosomal RNA is filed under the name uncultured eukaryote. RNAcentral describes it as "SSU rRNA". It matches the Rfam family "Eukaryotic small subunit ribosomal RNA", at positions 591 to 1162 of the family's 1831-position model. The record is from RNAcentral.